CGAGGGGUAGCUCAUUAUAGGAAGAGCACCUUUGCGUUGCAAAGGAGGUUGGAGGUUCAAAUCCUUCCCUCUCGACCA
RNAcentral lists this transfer RNA (78 nucleotides) under Candidatus Wolfebacteria bacterium RIFOXYB1_FULL_54_12. Its description in RNAcentral is "tRNA-OTHER". It matches the Rfam family "tRNA". From Rfam's summary of the family: Transfer RNA (tRNA) molecules are approximately 80 nucleotides in length. Their secondary structure includes four short double-helical elements and three loops (D, anti-codon, and T loops). Further hydrogen bonds mediate the characteristic L-shaped molecular structure. tRNAs have two regions of fundamental functional importance: the anti-codon, which is responsible for specific mRNA codon recognition, and the 3' end, to which the tRNAs corresponding amino acid is attached (by aminoacyl-tRNA synthetases). tRNAs cope with the degeneracy of the genetic code in two manners: having more than one tRNA (with a specific anti-codon) for a particular amino acid; and 'wobble' base-pairing, i.e. permitting non-standard base-pairing at the 3rd anti-codon position. The record is from RNAcentral. Lineage: Bacteria; Candidatus Wolfeibacteriota.